GACAUGUCCGCUAACAUAACCAUGGUUAAUUUUAUUAUUAUUUUUUUUUUCUAUAUCAUUAUGAGGAGUGAGAAACAAAAUUUGGUAGACACUUUUCCACCCAUAUCCUCGAUUGCAGUCAACCAAAUACUCCACAUUUUCAUAACCUCCAUUGCCGUCAACCAAAUGCUCCAUUUUCUAAGUUAGUUGUUUCCGACCUUGCGCAUUCUCAAAGCCCAUUCAAAUCUCAGUCUUUAAUGCCUCGAUUCGAACGUAGAAAAUGUAUUUCUUGAGCCUUUAGACCAUCUCCAACUCUGGGCUAAAAGCCAAAUUACCUCCCAAAUUACCCCCCCAAACACUCUCCAACCCAUGCUAAAAUUUUAGGCUAAAUGCCAAAUGCUAUUUCUGGGCCAAAUACCCCCCCAGCUUUCCCCCCGGGCUAAAUGCGAAAUAUUUAUCGGAAUUUAAAUUUUUUUAGAUUAAAAUGUUCAUAAAAUUAAUUUACAAUAAUCUACAUAUUUAUUUAUUUUUUUUAAAUUGAUUUAAGAAAAAAAUUGAGGCUAAUUUCAUUCUUUAAUAAUUCCGGGCUAAAAUUUUAAGGUAGAAGGGUUGGAACAGAAAAGAUGUUUAUGGGCUAAAAGUUAAAUUUUUCAGGCUAAAAAAUUUGGCUUUUAGCCCAAAGGUUGGAGAUGGUCUUAGAAAACUAUGCAAGUGCUAAUGGUGAAAUGAUGGCACAAAAACAAACUAUUUUGCUUGCCAAGUCUCACGUGAAAUGAAACUUAGAAAUUUUCUCGAACAAUACUAGCGAAACUAAUUUUUAAAACAAAAUUUGAUGAUGUGUUAUUAAUAGAAAAUAAACAUGUUAACCAAUACUCAAGUAAUAAUCCAACGAUCAACCACCACAUAAUUUUCAAAUUUGAGGGUUGGCUACUGUAGUUUCUAAUUUUCUUGAUAAUUUUAGUAGCUUUGUGUGAUGGGAAUCCAUUUUCUUCAAACCAUGAUAAGGGAAAGUGUAAGUUGAGUGGGAAAGUAGUUGGUGGAGUGAAUAGAAUUAAGCAAUAGGUAGCCCACAUAAAGAGAAAUGUAUUUGGUGUCCAAGGUCUUCGGAUGAGGAUAAUGUCAAAUGUAAAACCGUAUUAAAAGCUCCAAAAAGUAAGAAGAAACAAUACACAAUGAGAAAGUGAGGAAAGAACUCAACUUCGAUACAUUGAAGAAGUUGAAGAAAUUGAAGUUGUAGAGCCAAAGACAUUGUCGUGUCCUCUUAGGCAUAUGGAUUAGUUUACAUCUUGCGUCAACACAACCAUGCAUUGUUGAAAAAAUAGGGUUUAAUUGCUAUAUUUUAAUCAUAUAGGAAAAUAAGAAAUCAUUCAUACAACUAUAUACCAAAUUUAAUGCACUUAUAAUGGAAAACAAUGUCAAAUGCACAUGAAAAUGGAUUAAAAAAACUUAAAAAUCGGUCAAGGCAAAUGUUACACAUUAUGUUCUUAAGGGAAAUUUAUGGCCCACUGCGGUGCUUAUGGUUGAUCGGCACUUAUCUCCUAGGAUACAACGACCAUGUUCUUGUAAUAGUUGCACUCCAAAUUAUAAGGUUGCAGUGAACCACGAUUGUGUUAAACUAUCUCAUACUCACUUAAUCUUAAGUAUGAUAUGGCUCAUAUGAACUUGUAAAACUUGACCCGAAAUUCAUGAAUGACUCAAUGUGAUGAGGUCAUGACUCAUAUAUGAACUUGUAAAACUUGACUUGAAAUUUAUGAACUUGUAAAACUUGACUUGAAAUUCAUGAACUUGUAAAACUUGCCUUGAAAUUCAUGAAUGACUCAAUGCGAUGAGGUCUUUAUAUAAACUAGCCUUCAUGUACACGCUUACAUGAGUGCAAAAGGUAUUUUUUGAAAUACGGCGUGCUAUGCGCAACUUACGCAUUUUAAAUGUAUUUAUAUGCGCGAAUUGCUUCAAUUUUUUUUCUAUGACAAAAGGAAAGUCAAAUAUUUGGACUAAAUGAAUAAUAUUAGACCAUGCUAGAAAAAAACCCCUCAUAAACCAAUCAAAGCAGCUAAAUCCACAUAAUAAAAUAGGCAUUUCUAUUUCCAUCUACAUUCUAUUGAAUUGACAUUAAAAUAGAGAAAAUAAUAUUUAAUAAACAACUGAUUGAAUCAUAUUAUUACUAACUCAUUGUGAGGCUAAGCCCACCCCUUUCUCACUUAGAGCAACUUCAGCCCUCUCUAAGAGGCUAGCCCAAAGCCUAAAAAAAUAGGCUGGCACCUCAAAAACCCAUUCCACCUUACAAAAUAGAACAGCCCAAAGUCCAACCCAGUCUCUAGGCUGGCCUAGAAUGGGCUGAGUGAGGAACCGGCC
RNAcentral lists this long non-coding RNA (2331 nucleotides) under Malus domestica (apple). Its description in RNAcentral is "long non-coding RNA (MDOM_LNC009026)". The record is from RNAcentral. Lineage: Eukaryota; Viridiplantae; Streptophyta; Magnoliopsida; Rosales; Rosaceae.